UGGGGAAUAUUGGGCAAUGGAGGCAACUCUGACCCAGCCAUGCCGCGUGGGUGACGAAGGUCUUCGGAUUGUAAAGCCCUUUCGGCGGGGACGAUGAUGACGGUACCCGCAGAAGAAGCCCCAGCUAACUUCGUGCCAGCAGCCGCGGUAAUACGAAGGGGGCUAGCGUUGUUCGGAAUUACUGGGCGUAAAGGGCGUGUAGGCGGCCCGCUAAGUCAGGUGUGAAAUUCCUGGGCUCAACCCAGGACGUGCACUUGAGACUGACGGGCUUGAGUCCGGGAGAGGAUGGUGGAACUCCCAGUGUAGAGGUGAAAUUCGUAGAUAUUGGGAAGAACACCCGUGGCGAAGGCGGCCAUCUGGACCGGUACUGACGCUAAGGCGCGACAGCGUGGGGAGCAAACA
RNAcentral lists this ribosomal RNA (402 nucleotides) under uncultured bacterium. RNAcentral's name for it is "bacterial SSU rRNA". It matches the Rfam family "Bacterial small subunit ribosomal RNA", at positions 355 to 774 of the family's 1533-position model. The record is from RNAcentral.